GAUGAACGCCGGCGGCGUGCUUAACGCAUGCAAGUCGAACGGUGAAAGCGGAGCUUGCUCUGCUGGAUCAGUGGCGAACGGGUGAGUAACACGUGAGCAAUCUGCCCCUGACUCUGGGAUAAGCGCUGGAAACGGCGUCUAAUACUGGAUACGAGCUGCGAAGGCAUCUUCAGCAGCUGGAAAGAAUUUCGGUCAGGGAUGAGCUCGCGGCCUAUCAGCUUGUUGGUGAGGUAAUGGCUCACCAAGGCGUCGACGGGUAGCCGGCCUGAGAGGGUGACCGGCCACACUGGGACUGAGACACGGCCCAGACUCCUACGGGAGGCAGCAGUGGGGAAUAUUGCACAAUGGGCGAAAGCCUGAUGCAGCAACGCCGCGUGAGGGACGACGGCCUUCGGGUUGUAAACCUCUUUUAGCAGGGAAGAAGCGAAAGUGACGGUACCUGCAGAAAAAGCGCCGGCUAACUACGUG
RNAcentral lists this ribosomal RNA (468 nucleotides) under uncultured bacterium. Its description in RNAcentral is "partial 16S ribosomal RNA". It matches the Rfam family "Bacterial small subunit ribosomal RNA", at positions 28 to 507 of the family's 1533-position model. The record is from RNAcentral.